AACGCGAAGAACCUUACCUGGGCUCGAAGCGCAGUGGACCGGGGUAGAAAUAUCCCUUUCUCGCAAGAGACUGCUGCGGAGGUGCUGCAUGGCUGUCGUCAGCUCGUGUCGUGAGAUGUUGGGUUAAGUCCCGCAACGAGCGCAACCCUUAUCCCUAGUUGCCAUCGGGUCAAGCCGGGCACUCUAGUGAAACCGCCCCGGAUAACGGGGAGGAAGGUGGGGAUGACGUCAAGUCCUCAUGGCCUUUAUGUCCAGGGCUACACACGUGCUACAAUGGCCGGAACAACGGGCAGCCAGACCGCGAGGUCGAGCGAAUCCCAUAAAGCCGGUCUCAGUUCGGAUUGCAGGCUGCAACUCGCCUGCAUGAAGUCGGAAUCGCUAGUAACCGCAGAUCAGCUACGCUGCGGUGAAUACGUUCCCGGGCCUUGUACACACCGGAGUA
This 442-nucleotide ribosomal RNA is filed under the name uncultured bacterium. RNAcentral's name for it is "bacterial SSU rRNA". It matches the Rfam family "Bacterial small subunit ribosomal RNA", at positions 958 to 1398 of the family's 1533-position model. The record is from RNAcentral.